GCUUUCUUUGCUGGCGACCGGCGCACGGGUGAGUAACACGUAUCCAACCUACCCUUUACUCGGGGAUAGCCUUUCGAAAGAAAGAUUAAUACCCGAUAGCAUAAUGAUUCCGCAUGGUUUCAUUAUUAAAGGAUUCCGGUAAAGGAUGGGGAUGCGUUCCAUUAGGUUGUUGGUGAGGUAACGGCUCACCAAGCCUUCGAUGGAUAGGGGUUCUGAGAGGAAGGUCCCCCACAUUGGAACUGAGACACGGUCCAAACUCCUACGGGAGGCAGCAUG
Molecule: ribosomal RNA, 276 nt
Filed under: uncultured bacterium
Lineage: Bacteria
Description: partial 16S ribosomal RNA
Rfam family: Bacterial small subunit ribosomal RNA
Source: RNAcentral